Molecule: ribosomal RNA, 383 nt
Filed under: uncultured eukaryote
Lineage: Eukaryota
Description: partial 18S ribosomal RNA
Rfam family: Eukaryotic small subunit ribosomal RNA
Source: RNAcentral
CAAUAGCGUAUAUUAAAGUUGUUGCGGUUAAAAAGCUUGUAGUUGGAUCUCGGCAGGCAGGGGGUGGUUCGCUCUUAGCGCUACUGCCCCAUUUGCCUGUGUGAUUGGCGGAGGUUUCGGGGUGCUCUUCGUUGAGUGACCCGGGGCGCCGUCAGGUUUACUUUGAAAAAAUUAGAGUGCUCAAAGCAGGCUUUUCACGCUUGAAUAUUCGUGCAUGGAAUAAUGGAAUAGGAACUCGUUUCUAUUUUGUUGGUUUUCGGAAAUCGAGUUAAUGAUUAAUAGGGACAAUUGGGGGCAUUAGUAUUCAGACGACAGAGGUGAAAUUCUUGGACCGUCUGAAGACUAACUGCUGCGAAAGCAUUUGCCAAGAGUGUUUUCAUUAA